Molecule: long non-coding RNA, 478 nt
Organism: Helianthus annuus (common sunflower)
Lineage: Eukaryota; Viridiplantae; Streptophyta; Magnoliopsida; Asterales; Asteraceae
Exons: 2
Source: RefSeq, a predicted model, not a curated record
CCAUUUACGAAUAAGUGAAUGUGACUUGUAUGUAUGUAUGCAGAUAUGGAACUGUAGCGUGUGUAAGUAGUGUGAACUUGUAUGUACGCACAUAUGAAUAGGAUACGUAUGAAUGUUCUUAGAUAUAUGAAAGUGUACAUACGUGUGGUAAUCUUAUGAUUGUAGAUCACUGGUAUAUGUAUAUGUGAAGAUGUGGGUUUUCAAUAUGUUUGAGAUUACGUAUUCCUAACCAUGUUACUAUGAGAAUGAAAUGGAGUGCAGGUAUGGGACGCCGGACUAUCGAGGAAUUGAUGUCGGACUCGAGUAAAUAAAAUUGAAAGGAUGUUUCAGUGGAAUACCUUACGUAGUUAGAAUGUGGUUAGUCAGAUAUUCAUGAUAGACAAGUGAACGAGGGUCGAGUUGAAGAUCAUGGAUUGUACGGGAAAGCGGUCAUGUUGUUUGUAAUUAUUUGUUAACAUAGUUACAUUAAAUAAAUGAU